GCUUAAGUAUUUUAAUUAAAAUAUUGUUUUGUGGAGUCAAUGAUAUGAAUAUCAAUUCAUCUUAGGUC
Molecule: transfer RNA, 68 nt
Filed under: Marellia remipes
Lineage: Eukaryota; Metazoa; Arthropoda; Insecta; Orthoptera; Acrididae
Description: tRNA-His
Source: RNAcentral